GUGAGAACCCUGACCCCUAAUCCCACUGCAUCCAGCCAAUAGGAGCCCAGCCACCAUGGCGGAGCUGCAGGAGGUGCAGAUCACAGAGGAGAAGCCACUGUUGCCAGGACAGACGCCUGAGGCGGCCAAGGAGGCUGAGUUAGCUGCCCGAAUCCUCCUGGACCAGGGACAGACUCACUCUGUGGAGACACCAUACGGCUCUGUCACUUUCACUGUCUAUGGCACCCCCAAACCCAAACGCCCAGCGAUCCUUACCUACCACGAUGUGGGACUCAACUAUAAAUCUUGCUUCCAGCCACUGUUUCAGUUCGAGGACAUGCAGGAAAUCAUUCAGAACUUUGUGCGGGUUCAUGUGGAUGCCCCUGGAAUGGAAGAGGGAGCCCCUGUGUUCCCUUUGGGAUAUCAGUACCCAUCUCUGGACCAGCUUGCAGACAUGAUCCCUUGCGUCCUGCAGUACCUAAAUUUCUCUACAAUAAUUGGAGUUGGUGUUGGAGCUGGAGCCUACAUCCUGGCGAGAUAUGCUCUUAACCACCCGGACACUGUUGAAGGUCUUGUCCUCAUCAACAUUGAUCCCAAUGCCAAGGGUUGGAUGGAUUGGGCAGCCCACAAGGUUUGGAGGGGCCUGUGUGCUGAGACCUAGGGUUGGGGAUCCCCUCGUAUGGAUCCAGUUAGGCUCUGGUAGAUAGCCUAACUGGAUGGACUCUGAACUUCAAGGUGGGAAUAAAGGGGCAGGAAAGUGAAGCUGUCACUUUGCCUGAGUCUCUUAUAAUAUCCUGAACUUUCUUUUUUUCUUUUUUCUUUUUUUUUUUUUUUUGAGAUGGUGUCUCACUCUGUUGCCAAGGCU
Molecule: small RNA, 844 nt
Filed under: Pan troglodytes (chimpanzee)
Lineage: Eukaryota; Metazoa; Chordata; Mammalia; Primates; Hominidae
Description: retained intron
Source: RNAcentral